UACAGAGGUCUCAAGCGUUGUUCGGAUUCAUUGGGCGUAAAGGGUGCGUAGGUGGCGCCGUAAGUCGGGGGGGAAAUUUCGGAGCUUAACUCCGAAACUGCAUUCGAUACUGCGGUGCUUGAGGACUGGAGAGGAGACUGGAAUUCAUGGUGUAGCAGUGAAAUGCGUAGAGAUCAUGAGGAAGACCAGUGGCGAAGGCGGGUCUCUGGACAGUUCCUGACACUGAGGCACGAAGGCCAGGGGAGCAAACGGG
RNAcentral lists this ribosomal RNA (253 nucleotides) under uncultured bacterium. Its description in RNAcentral is "partial 16S ribosomal RNA". It matches the Rfam family "Bacterial small subunit ribosomal RNA", at positions 524 to 776 of the family's 1533-position model. The record is from RNAcentral.